RNAcentral lists this long non-coding RNA (838 nucleotides) under Aquilegia coerulea. Its description in RNAcentral is "long non-coding RNA (ACOE_LNC001578)". Lineage: Eukaryota; Viridiplantae; Streptophyta; Magnoliopsida; Ranunculales; Ranunculaceae. The record is from RNAcentral.
CACAGAGAAAGAGAGAGAGAGAGAAACAAGUGAAACGAAACCGCUGCGCUGCCAUCGUUACAAUCAAACAACAACCAAUCGAUUCUUUCUUCUUCUUCGUUUAUAACUAGUACAGUAGUACUUUCUUUCUCACCAAGUCACCAUUACUCUCUUUCACUCUUCUUCUUCUUCUUCUUCUUCUUCAUUUCUUCUCUCGAAGUUUCUAGAAGGUAUGUUCUACAUAUUAAUCAUUUUUUCACACGUGUUAACUUUCUAUCCAAGUAAACAGACUUAACAGACGUGUGGUUCCAAAACAAGAAUUCUUUCUUUCAUUAAUGAUUAAUCAAUCUCUUUAGUUUAAUUCUUUCUUUGAUUUCAUGUUUUAGUUGCUACGUUUCUUCAAAUAUACCUUCUAUUCCAACUUGUCUUUUCGAAAGAUUUCAAACUGCAAUUCUUGUUUUUAAGUAAGAAUUCAUCCAUGUUUCUUGUUGUUGAUUCUUAUAAGCUUUCUUUCUUAUUGAAAUCCUAGGGUUUUUGUUCACUUUCUGUGUUAGUACUGUUUGCAAGAAUUGAACAAGGAAAGAUGGAUUUGGAGAAUUUAAUUGGAAGUAUUACUAAAAAUGAUCAAGAACUCUGGUUGAUGUGUGUAAUGGUUGGAAUUCUUAUGUGCAACAUUGUAAGUAUUUCAUUCUAGUUCAAAAUCUUUAUUACAGUUUGGUUGCUGAAUUUUAUGUGUAUAUUGUAUUGAGCAUUUCAAACUUUGUAUGCUUGGAAAAUGAUUAGUUCGCAAUAAUACUAGCUAAUGGCAUGGAAAUUGUAGAUAUUCUGUUGUAUUUUCUUAUUGAAUUCACUCUACUUG